UACGUAGGCGGAUUAAUAAGUCAGUGGUGAAAUCCCGAAGCUCAACUUCGGAACUGCCAUUGAAACUGUUGAUCUUGAAUUUGGUUGAAGUGGGCGGAAUAUGACAUGUAGCGGUGAAAUGCAUAGAUAUGUCACGGAACACCGAUAGUGAAGACAGCUCACUAAACCAAUAUUGACGCUGAGGUACGAAAGCAUGGGUAGCGAACAGGAUUAGAUACCCUGGUAGUCC
This 229-nucleotide ribosomal RNA is filed under the name uncultured bacterium. RNAcentral describes it as "partial 16S ribosomal RNA". It matches the Rfam family "Bacterial small subunit ribosomal RNA", at positions 568 to 796 of the family's 1533-position model. The record is from RNAcentral.